GUUUGAUCCUGGCUCAGAUUGAACGCUGGCGGCAUGCCUUACACAUGCAAGUCGAACGGCAGCACGGAGCUUGCUCUGGUGGCGAGUGGCGAACGGGUGAGUAAUAUAUCGGAACGUACCCUAGAGUGGGGGAUAACGUAGCGAAAGUUACGCUAAUACCGCAUACGAUCUAAGGAUGAAAGUGGGGGAUCGCAAGACCUCAUGCUCGUGGAGCGGCCGAUAUCUGAUUAGCUAGUUGGUAGGGUAAAAGCCUACCAAGGCAUCGAUCAGUAGCUGGUCUGAGAGGACGACCAGCCACACUGGAACUGAGACACGGUCCAGACUCCUACGGGAGGCAGCAGUGGGGAAUUUUGGACAAUGGGCGAAAGCCUGAUCCAGCAAUGCCGCGUGAGUGAAGAAGGCCUUCGGGUUGUAAAGCUCUUUUGUCAGGGAAGAAACGGUGAGAGCUAAUAUCUUUUGCUAAUGACGGUACCUGAAGAAUAAGCACCGGCUAACUACGUGCCAGCAGCCGCGGUAAUACGUAGGGUGCAAGCGUUAAUCGGAAUUACUGGGCGUAAAGCGUGCGCAGGCGGUUUUGUAAGUCUGAUGUGAAAUCCCCGGGCUCAACCUGGGAAUUGCAUUGGAGACUGCAAGGCUAGAAUCUGGCAGAGGGGGGUAGAAUUCCACGUGUAGCAGUGAAAUGCGUAGAUAUGUGGAGGAACACCGAUGGCGAAGGCAGCCCCCUGGGUCAAGAUUGACGCUCAUGCACGAAAGCGUGGGGAGCAAACAGGAUUAGAUACCCUGGUAGUCCACGCCCUAAACGAUGUCUACUAGUUGUCGGGUCUUAAUUGACUUGGUAACGCAGCUAACGCGUGAAGUAGACCGCCUGGGGAGUACGGUCGCAAGAUUAAAACUCAAAGGAAUUGACGGGGACCCGCACAAGCGGUGGAUGAUGUGGAUUAAUUCGAUGCAACGCGAAAAACCUUACCUACCCUUGACAUGGCUGGAAUCCUUGAGAGAUCGAGGAGUGCUCGAAAGAGAACCAGUACACAGGUGCUGCAUGGCUGUCGUCAGCUCGUGUCGUGAGAUGUUGGGUUAAGUCCCGCAACGAGCGCAACCCUUGUCAUUAGUUGCUACGAAAGGGCACUCUAAUGAGACUGCCGGUGACAAACCGGAGGAAGGUGGGGAUGACGUCAAGUCCUCAUGGCCCUUAUGGGUAGGGCUUCACACGUCAUACAAUGGUACAUACAGAGCGCCGCCAACCCGCGAGGGGGAGCUAAUCGCAGAAAGUGUAUCGUAGUCCGGAUUGUAGUCUGCAACUCGACUGCAUGAAGUUGGAAUCGCUAGUAAUCGCGG
Molecule: ribosomal RNA, 1335 nt
Filed under: Janthinobacterium sp. Lc10-8
Lineage: Bacteria; Pseudomonadati; Pseudomonadota; Betaproteobacteria; Burkholderiales; Oxalobacteraceae
Description: bacterial SSU rRNA
Rfam family: Bacterial small subunit ribosomal RNA
Source: RNAcentral